Molecule: ribosomal RNA, 1002 nt
Filed under: Clavariadelphus pistillaris
Lineage: Eukaryota; Fungi; Basidiomycota; Agaricomycetes; Gomphales; Clavariadelphaceae
Description: partial 18S ribosomal RNA
Rfam family: Eukaryotic small subunit ribosomal RNA
Source: RNAcentral
UUUGAANCCCUUUGNAGGCAUAUGCUUGUCUCAAAGAUUAAGCCAUGCAUGUCUAAGUAUAAACAAAUUUGUACUGUGAAACUGCGAAUGGCUCAUUAAAUCAGUUAUAGUUUAUUUGAUGGUAUCUUGCUACAUGGAUAACUGUGGUAAUUCUAGAGCUAAUACAUGCGUCAAAGCCCCGACUUCUGGAAGGGGUGUAUUUAUUAGAUAAAAAACCAACGCGGUUCGCCGCUCUCUUGGUGAUUCAUAAUAACUUCUCGAAUCGCAUGGCCUUGCGCCGGCGAUGCUUCAUUCAAAUAUCUGCCCUAUCAAGUUUAGAUGGUAGGAUAGAGGCCUACCAUGCUUUCAACGGGUAACGGGGAAUAAGGGUUCGAUUCCGGAGAGGGAGCCUGAGAAACGGCUACCACAUCCAAGGAAGGCAGCAGGCGCGCAAAUUACCCAAUCCCGACACGGGGAGGUAGUGACAAUAAAUAACAAUAUGGGGCUCAUUUGGGUCCCAUAAUUGGAAUGAGUCCAAUUUAAAUCCCUUAACGAGGAACAAUUGGAGGGCAAGUCUGGUGCCAGCAGCCCGCGGUAAUUCCAGCUCCAAUAGCGUAUAUUAAAGUUGNUGCCGUUAAAAAGCUCGUAGUUGAACUUCCAUGGCCCCAUGCGGUCUGCCUNACGGCAUGUUACUGGGUGGGUNCCGUGUUCCUUGGUGGUGAGCCUUGAUGCCCGUUGUCCGNCGNCUAGGUGAACCACCUUUNUUACCUUUGAGAAAAUUAGAGNGUUCAAAAGCAGGCAANNUGCCCNAUCAUUAGAAUGGAUAACCGAANUGGCCUNNNGGUNUAUUUUGGUGGGUUUUANAACCCCGAAUGGAUUAANNGGGUUGUUGGGCNUUUUUNUUCAAUUNNUAGGGGNAANUUUUGGUUUUUCUGAAAAUUANNNNCNGCNAAGNNUUNCAAGGNUUUUUNAUAUANAAAANCAAGGUUGGGNUUCAAACCAUNAUNCCNUUUUGUNUAAACN